RNAcentral lists this long non-coding RNA (477 nucleotides) under Brassica napus (rape). RNAcentral's name for it is "long non-coding RNA (BNAP_LNC005767)". Lineage: Eukaryota; Viridiplantae; Streptophyta; Magnoliopsida; Brassicales; Brassicaceae. The record is from RNAcentral.
GGAGCUGAACGCUUUCGUAGAGAUCUUUUGCACAACUUAUCCAACCAUUUAGUUUCUGUAAGGAAAGCUUAUUGUUUACUCAUCGAUUCAUCAAUUGAAGAACAUAUUGUUUCCUCUGUCUUUUCCUGCUGCGAAGGUUUUUGUUUUUGGUAUCUACAUUUUAACUUACAAAAUCACUUCCAUUUUUUGUCUUUUAGCAGGCCCAGAAGAAGCACAAGUAUGAUGGUGUGGAACCGUAGAGGCCAUAAAAGAAAUGAUGAGGAAUAUAGAAAAAAAGACAUGGAGAAAUCAAAGAAAUGGCUUUUGAUAAAAGGUAAAAACGCUUCCUUUGUUUGUUUCAGAACCUAAAGGUUCAAACUAUUGCAGCUUUUUUUUUCUAGCAUUAAAUAUUCACUGCUUAUCAUCACAUUGUAUGCAGUCUACUGUGCAUGGAGUUAUGUCAGAUGAUGUUGCUCGGUUUUUGAAUCUGCUCACCAC